UCUCCCUCCGCCGCCCGAGCACCAGCCGCGCUCUGAGCUGCCCCCGGGGUCCCUCCCCCGCCGCCAGAGGAGCAGCUGCCGCCGCCGCCGCCGCCAGCAGCGAAUUGGGAGGGAAGAGAGAACGAGAGGAGGAAGGAAGGGAGCCAGAGCGACUAACCCGAGGGAGCCGGUGAAUGGGCUGGUGGUGACCCCCGCUCCCCACCCCACCCUCCCUUCCCACCCGACCCCCAACCCCCAUCCCCAGUUAGAGCCGCCGCCCCAGAGGCCGGACCCGUCGUCUUAGGAAAGAGUAGCCGCUGCCACCUCCGCCAUGGAGCUGAUCACCAUCCUCGAGAAGACCGUGUCUCCGGAUCGGCUGGAACUGGAAGCGGCGCAGAAGUUCCUGGAGCGUGCGGCCGUGGAGAACCUGCCCACGUUCCUUGUGGAACUGUCCAGAGUGCUAGCAAAUCCAGGAAACAGUCAAGUUGCCAGAGUUGCAGCAGGUCUACAAAUCAAGAAUUCUUUGACAUCGAAAGAUCCAGAUAUCAAGGCACAAUAUCAGCAGAGGUGGCUAGCAAUUGAUGCGAAUGCUCGACGGGAAGUCAAGAAUUAUGUUUUGCAGACUUUGGGCACAGAAACCUACCGGCCUAGCUCAGCCUCGCAGUGUGUGGCUGGCAUUGCUUGUGCGGAGAUCCCCGUGAACCAGUGGCCAGAACUCAUUCCUCAGCUGGUGGCCAAUGUCACAAAUCCCAACAGCACAGAGCACAUGAAAGAGUCAACAUUGGAAGCUAUUGGUUACAUUUGCCAAGAUAUUGACCCAGAGCAGCUACAAGAUAAAUCCAAUGAGAUUCUGACUGCCAUAAUUCAGGGGAUGCGGAAAGAAGAGCCUAGUAAUAAUGUGAAGCUAGCAGCUACUAAUGCACUGCUGAACUCAUUGGAGUUCACCAAAGCCAACUUUGACAAAGAGUCCGAAAGGCACUUUAUUAUGCAGGUGGUUUGUGAAGCCACACAGUGUCCAGAUACGAGGGUUCGAGUGGCUGCCUUACAGAAUCUGGUGAAAAUAAUGUCCUUGUAUUAUCAGUACAUGGAGACAUAUAUGGGUCCUGCUCUUUUUGCAAUCACAAUUGAAGCAAUGAAAAGCGAUAUUGAUGAAGUGGCCCUGCAAGGGAUAGAAUUCUGGUCCAAUGUGUGUGAUGAGGAAAUGGAUUUGGCCAUUGAGGCUUCAGAGGCAGCAGAACAAGGACGGCCCCCUGAGCACACCAGCAAGUUUUAUGCCAAGGGAGCACUACAGUACCUGGUUCCGAUCCUCACACAGACACUAACUAAACAGGAUGAAAAUGAUGAUGAUGAUGACUGGAAUCCCUGCAAAGCAGCCGGAGUGUGCAUCAUGCUUCUGGCCACCUGCUGUGAAGAUGACAUUGUCCCUCAUGUCCUCCCCUUCAUUAAAGAACACAUCAAGAACCCUGAUUGGCGGUACCGGGAUGCAGCAGUGAUGGCUUUUGGCUGUAUUUUGGAAGGACCAGAGCCCAAUCAGCUCAAACCACUAGUUAUACAGGCUAUGCCCACGCUAAUAGAAUUAAUGAAAGACCCCAGUGUAGUUGUUCGAGAUACAACUGCAUGGACUGUGGGCAGAAUUUGUGAACUGCUCCCUGAAGCUGCCAUCAAUGAUGUCUACUUGACUCCCCUGCUGCAGUGUCUGAUUGAGGGCCUCAGUGCUGAACCUAGAGUGGCUUCAAAUGUGUGCUGGGCUUUCUCUAGCCUGGCGGAAGCUGCUUAUGAAGCUGCAGAUGUAGCCGAUGAUCAGGAAGAACCAGCUACCUAUUGCUUGUCUUCUUCUUUUGAACUCAUAGUUCAGAAGCUCCUGGAGACCACAGACAGACCUGAUGGACACCAGAACAAUCUGAGGAGUUCUGCAUAUGAAUCUCUGAUGGAAAUUGUGAAAAACAGUGCCAAGGAUUGUUACCCUGCAGUUCAGAAAACUACUUUAGUCAUCAUGGAGCGACUUCAACAAGUACUUCAGAUGGAGUCACAUAUCCAGAGCACAUCGGACAGGAUCCAGUUCAAUGACCUUCAGUCUUUACUCUGUGCAACUCUUCAGAAUGUUCUCCGGAAAGUGCAACAUCAAGAUGCUUUGCAGAUCUCUGAUGUCGUCAUGGCUUCCCUGUUAAGAAUGUUCCAAAGCACGGCUGGGUCAGGGGGAGUUCAAGAGGAUGCUCUAAUGGCAGUUAGCACACUAGUGGAAGUGUUGGGCGGCGAGUUCCUGAAGUACAUGGAGGCCUUCAAACCCUUCCUGGGCAUUGGGCUCAAGAACUACGCCGAGUACCAGGUCUGCUUGGCAGCGGUGGGCUUAGUGGGAGACCUGUGCCGCGCACUGCAGUCCAGCAUCCUGCCUUUCUGCGACGAGGUGAUGCAGCUGCUGCUGGAGAACUUGGGGAAUGAAAAUGUCCACAGGUCUGUGAAGCCACAGAUUCUGUCCGUGUUUGGUGAUAUUGCCCUUGCUAUUGGUGGAGAGUUUAAGAAAUACCUAGAGGUUGUAUUGAAUACUCUUCAACAGGCUUCCCAAGCCCAGGUGGACAAGUCAGACUAUGACAUGGUGGAUUAUCUGAAUGAACUAAGGGAAAGCUGCUUGGAGGCCUAUACCGGAAUUGUCCAGGGAUUAAAGGGAGACCAGGAGAACGUACACCGGACUUAUGUACAGCAUUUGGGAAGGAUGUCCUGAAAUUAGUAGAAGCUAGGCCAAUGAUCCAUGAACUGUUAACUGAAGGACGGAGAUCGAAGACUAACAAAGCAAAAACCCUUGCUACAUGGGCAACAAAAGAACUGAGGAAACUGAAGAACCAAGCUUGAUCUUGUUACCAUUGGGAUGAUAACCUGAGACCCCCACUGGAAAUCUCCAAUCUUUUGAAAAACCCGGAAGUGAGGAGUGUGCACGGAUGCUGAGUGUUUGGGAAUGAGAGCAUGAGUGAGUGAGGCUUGAAAACACACCACAUUGAAAAUCCUGCCACAGCAGCAGCCGCAGCCACCAACAGCAGUGCUGUUAGUGAGCUAAGCAAGCACUGACUUCGUAGAAAACCAUAACGGCGGCCAUCUGGGAAGAGAGAAAAACUGAUGGAUUUACUUACUUACGAAAGAAAGCUGUCUCUUCCCAGCAGAGGCUAGAACUAGCUUUUCUGUCUUUUGGCCGGUGUUGAGUGAGUGGAAUGACUAGUUUGCGAGAGGAGGGGGAGGAGGAGGAACUGGGUUCAGCUGUGGUGCUUUGUUGUAAAAGGCAGCCUGGCCUUUGCUACUGAUAAGAAAGAUGGAGCCUGGGUCUCGAGCCCACCUUUGGUGUACCUUUGCCAUACGGUACUGUAUGUGUGCCGGCUAAAAGGAGGGUGAGGGAUUCUUACAGUCUGAGAAUGAGUGUGUGUGAAUGAGGCGGUAUCCACAUUCUCAACUUCAAGUCAUUGCAGUUUCUUUUUCCCAGAAAAAAAGGGGUUAGACAUUGCAUUUCAUAAAACUAACAGAAGUUCUGUCUACUGAUGCAGCACAAGAGAUGUAAAAAAAAGGGGGGGGGAAGCUCUUUAGGUUUCAUUUUUUGUUUUGUUUUUUAAUUAUCUUCUAGGGAAAACACUGACGAAUGUUCAGAGCUCCCAUUCUGAUCUAUCUCAUCAAGGCUCCUUUCCUAAUAAUAUGGUUCAACUGUGAAUGUAGAAUUGGGGGGAGGGGGGAGAAAAUGAAAACUCUGGAGUUAGAUGAUAUAGAAAAAAAUAAAAAUGCAAUUGUUACAAAUAAAGAAUGCAGACUUCAAAAACAAAAGAAAGCCACAGCCCCCCAAAAAAACAAAAUUUAAAUGCUCAGAUUGGCAGCAGAAAGAAACAUUCUCUUCUGAUGUGUAUCAAGGCAGUCUGAACGCCCCCAGAAAAUUGUGCCAAAGAGUUUAGAAAACACAUACAAUAAAGUAAACACACACACACACACAUACAGCAAACUUCAGGUAACUAUUUUGGAUUGCAAACAAGGAUAAAUUUAAUGUUCAAACAAUCUGAUAAAAUAACCAUUUGGAAACUGCUUGGCCUUCUGUUCUCUUAUUUGAUUGACUGCAAUGCGAUAUUGGUCUCUUGCUGCACUUCAAAACCAACUAUCCAACAACAAAAGAAUAUACAAGUAUAUAUACACAUAUACUUAGACUAGAACUCUUGUGAUGAAAGUGGCACUUGAAAAAGGUUAUAUUUUUCCACUGAAGUUGAAGAUUAAUAAAAUGGUGUCAAACAUUCCCCUGGUCACACGCUUUAAUAUUUUUUUAAAGUGUGAUGUGCUGUGAUAACCAUAAAUCAGACUUAAUUAUGUUCCCUUUACACAGGGAACAGGGCACCCUGAAUUUGGGUUUUAGAAUCUUUCAGCAAUAAGGGAUGUGGGUGAGCUUUGAUCCUCUUCUGGUUUUGCAGUUAUUAGAGGAGUUUUUGCUGGCGUUUUGAAUAUGCUGCUUUCAAAAACACCCAAGGGAGAUUUUUUUAAUGCUUCCUGGUAUUUGGAGGAUUGAAAAACAAGACCUUAAAAUUCCCAUUUUCAUUUUCAUUCUAGCAAAAAAAUAGGGGCUUAUGUAUUUCUCUGCCAUUUCCCCCUCCCUGUCCAAGCCUUCCAUUCAUGUGUGGGUUUGGCUCGCUUUUGCCCAUCCAUAUGGCAGCAUCUCUAAUAGCUCUUGUACAGGGUAUCAGAUAUUGUGCCUUUUGGUGCCAGGUUCAAAGUCAAGUGCCGAUCUAUGAACCAGUGUACAAAAAUGAAUCCAGGUAUUUGAAGAAAAGACGCUCCAUUGUGAAUAGAGUGCACCAGCUCUUAAGCCCUAAGAAGAGACCUGGCCCUCUAAUGCCUUGUGUAAAUUUUAGUUCCUUGAGGGAGAGGGUAUACUAACCAUUCCUGGUAGACAGGGUUUGGUCAAGGCUUAGGGAUGCGGCAGGAAUAUUGGGGAGAAAAAAUGAUCAUUCCUCAGUGCUACCCAUUUCUGUCCUGUGUGGGCUGCUUAGCUAGACAGCAGGAGAAUAAAGUACACCAAGAACCAUAAUGAAAACAGAACCUUGCGUGUGUUUUGUCAUUUUGUUCCAGGGAAGCAGUUGACAAGUGCUGUUAUUAACGCUUUCUCCCAGAUGCAUUCAGUGAUGGAGGAGGAAAACGGGCUGGUUGGGUUGUGGUCUUGGUGCCUCGCAGUUACUCUGCACUGGUUAUGCAUUUAAUCUAGUUACCUUUGGCUAGUGGGUACUCCAUAGUCUGGGUUUUGUCCUUAAUCAGUUGUACCACCUAAGGCGACUGGAUGCAAAAUACAUUCUAUCCACUCUUAUCUGAGCCUUCCCCACCCUAGUCUUGGCACAUUCCUUCAAGAAUGUAGUUACCGUCUGCUUGGGAAGAUGUCAGUGCAAAUGUGAAGAAAAUGGACAUCGGACUAGGCUUUGGUUUGCCACAGUGGCAGCUGCCUAUAUCAAUUACAAUUACAUUUAUUAAUUUUGCUUUCCAUUUUUCCAGUUCCCCUCAGCUCCCCUCUGUUGAAAUGUUGGCUGUCAAGAGGCAACUGUGACGCUGCCUCUGGGACUUGUGGAGAAAGGGAGGGGAACUGCUCAGUAUAGUGUUUCACUUUCAGAACCAAGUAAUCUAGUCACUCAUAUUUAAGAAGUGUGUUAGUCUGACUUCAAGAGAAAUCCAAACUCCAUCAGCUUUUGAUAGCAUCUUGGUUUUCGAAACUUCAAUCUGUAAUUGGCAUUUAAAAUGCCCUUGGCAUGCCAGUCUGUGAUGGCAUUGAAGACCUGUUAAAACACUUGAGCCCAACUUUAUUAACCAAAACUGAUACCACCACCUUUAUCUUCUAAAUAAAGUCCGCUUUAUUUUUAUUUUCAA
This is an RNA transcript of Pipistrellus kuhlii (Kuhl's pipistrelle), 5844 nucleotides long. It is a transcript of the gene named karyopherin subunit beta 1, with no coding region annotated. The record is from RefSeq and is a predicted model, not a curated record. Lineage: Eukaryota; Metazoa; Chordata; Mammalia; Chiroptera; Vespertilionidae. The transcript is spliced from 21 exons.